GGACUCGUAGCUCAGCUGGAUAGAGCAUCUGCCUUCUAAGCAGACGGUCCUGAGUUCGAAUCUCAGCGAGUUCA
Molecule: transfer RNA, 74 nt
Filed under: Schleiferiaceae bacterium
Lineage: Bacteria; Pseudomonadati; Bacteroidota; Flavobacteriia; Flavobacteriales; Schleiferiaceae
Description: tRNA-Arg
Rfam family: tRNA
About the family: Transfer RNA (tRNA) molecules are approximately 80 nucleotides in length. Their secondary structure includes four short double-helical elements and three loops (D, anti-codon, and T loops).
Source: RNAcentral